UACGUAGGGUGCGAGCGUUAAUCGGAAUUACUGGGCGUAAAGCGUGCGCAGGCGGUUUUGUAAGACAGGUGUGAAAUCCCCGGGCUUAACCUGGGAACUGCGCUUGUGACUGCAAGACUCGAGUACGGCAGAGGGGGGUAGAAUUCCACGUGUAGCAGUGAAAUGCGUAGAGAUCUGGAGGAACACCGAUGGCGAAGGCAGCCUUCUGGGCCAACACUGACGCUCAUGCACGAAAGCGUGGGGAGCAAACAGG
This 253-nucleotide ribosomal RNA is filed under the name uncultured bacterium. RNAcentral describes it as "partial 16S ribosomal RNA". It matches the Rfam family "Bacterial small subunit ribosomal RNA", at positions 524 to 776 of the family's 1533-position model. The record is from RNAcentral.